Molecule: ribosomal RNA, 741 nt
Filed under: uncultured eukaryote
Lineage: Eukaryota
Description: bacterial SSU rRNA
Rfam family: Eukaryotic small subunit ribosomal RNA
Source: RNAcentral
GACUUGGACUGGCCGCCAGGGUCCGGAAGAGGAGCGAGUUCACUCGAUCAUCUACGUUACGUGGGUGGUGGGGAGCGACGAGCUCUGGGUUACUGUGAAGAAAUUAGAGUGUUUAAAGCAGGCAGGAAAGCUUGAAUAGACGAGCAUGGAAUAACAAGAUAGGACAUUGAGAGCCUCUUGUUGGUGAAGGGGGACGGAUGUAAUGAUUAAUAGGGUCAGUUGGGGGCAUUAGUAUUCAGUAGUCAGAGGUGAAAUUCUUGGAUUUACUGAAGACUAACUAGUGCGAAAGCAUUUGCCAAGGAUGUUUUCAUUAAUCAAGAACGAAAGUUAGGGGAUCGAAGACGAUCAGAUACCGUCGUAGUCUUAACUAUAAACGAUGCCGACUAAGGAUCGGCAGGGGUCGGUUAGCGACACUGUCGGGACUUUGUGAGAAAUCAAAGUUUAUGGGUUCUGGGGGGAGUAUGGUCGCAAGGCUGAAACUUAAAGGAAUUGACGGAAGGGCGCCACCAGGAGUGGAGCCUGCGGCUUAAUUUGACUCAACACGGGAAAACUCACCAGGUCCGGACAUGGUAAGGAUUGACAGAUUGAGAGCUCUUUCUUGAUUCUGUGGGUGGUGGUGCAUGGGCCGUUCUUAGUUGGUGGAGUGAUUUGUCUGGUUAAUUCCGAUAACGAACGAGACCUUGACCUGCUAACUAGAUGCUAGUACGAGAGUAUUGGUAGACUUCUUAGAGGGACUGACUA